Molecule: ribosomal RNA, 253 nt
Filed under: uncultured bacterium
Lineage: Bacteria
Description: partial 16S ribosomal RNA
Rfam family: Bacterial small subunit ribosomal RNA
Source: RNAcentral
UACGUAGGGAGCAAGCGUUAUCCGGAAUUAUUGGGUGUAAAGGGUGCGUAGACGGGAAAUUAAGUUAGUUGUGAAAUCCCUCGGCUCAACUGAGGAGCUGCAACUAAAACUGAUUUUCUUGAGUGCAGGAGAGGAAAGUGGAAUUCCUAGUGUAGCGGUGAAAUGCGUAGAUAUUAGGAGGAACACCAGUGGCGAAGGCGUCUUUCUGGACUGUAACUGACGUUGAGGCACGAAAGUGUGGGGAGCAAACAGG